GACGAACGCUGGCGGCGUGCUUAACACAUGCAAGUCGAACGAAGAGCGAUGGAAGCUUGCUUCUAUCAAUCUUAGUGGCGAACGGGUGAGUAACGCGUAAUCAACCUGCCCUUCAGAGGGGGACAACAGUUGGAAACGACUGCUAAUACCGCAUACGAUCUAACCUUGGCAUCGAGGAUGGAUGAAAGGUGGCCUCUAUUUAUAAGCUAUCACUGAAGGAGGGGAUUGCGUCUGAUUAGCUAGUUGGAGGGGUAACGGCCCACCAAGGCGAUGAUCAGUAGCCGGUCUGAGAGGAUGAACGGCCACAUUGGGACUGAGACACGGCCCAGACUCCUACGGGAGGCAGCAGUGGGGAAUCUUCCGCAAUGGACGAAAGUCUGACGGAGCAACGCCGCGUGAGUGAUGACGGCCUUCGGGUUGUAAAGCUCUGUUAAUCGGGACGAAAGGCCUUCUUGCGAACAGUUAGAAGGAUUGACGGUACCGGAAUAGAAAGCCACGGCUA
Molecule: ribosomal RNA, 502 nt
Filed under: Veillonella dispar
Lineage: Bacteria; Bacillati; Bacillota; Negativicutes; Veillonellales; Veillonellaceae
Description: bacterial SSU rRNA
Rfam family: Bacterial small subunit ribosomal RNA
Source: RNAcentral